CUCACUUGCUUUUAGAUGCAGGUGGAUAAAAUCCAUGGCAGAGCACCCCAUCCCAGGAAGUAAAGCCACAUAUCAGAAGUCAAGGCGAGGUGGUCAAGGCAAUCCAUUUGGAGUAUGCAUUACUCCCCAUCACGCACUGGCCGGUGGACUGUGAUCAUUGCUCUUGUGAGCCCUGUGGAAGUAUUACAGGACUUGGUGAUGAAGCCUCUGCCUUUCCUAUUUAAAUGUGUCACCCGGGUAGCCUUUGGCCGCGGCUGAGGAGUUGCAGUGAGUCGGGGAAUAGGGAGGAGGAGCGAGGGUCCACUCUGGUGUCACCAAUGCCACAUCACCUUCACUCCCCUUAACUUAGGCGGACCCUGCGAUGAUGGCGUCAGCCUCCGAGCGCA
Long non-coding RNA from Passer domesticus (house sparrow), 386 nucleotides. RefSeq lists it as uncharacterized. The record is from RefSeq and is a predicted model, not a curated record. The transcript is spliced from 3 exons. Lineage: Eukaryota; Metazoa; Chordata; Aves; Passeriformes; Passeridae.